RNAcentral lists this ribosomal RNA (301 nucleotides) under uncultured bacterium. Its description in RNAcentral is "partial 16S ribosomal RNA". It matches the Rfam family "Bacterial small subunit ribosomal RNA", at positions 509 to 809 of the family's 1533-position model. The record is from RNAcentral.
CAGUAGCCGCGGUAAUGCGGAGGGAGCUAGCGUUGUUCGGAAUCACUGGGCGUAAAGCGCACGUAGGCGGCUAUUCAAGUCAGGGGUGAAAGCCCGGGGCUCAACCCCGGAACUGCCUUUGAAACUAGAUAGCUUGAAUCUUGGAGGGGCGAGUGGAAUUCCACGUGUAGCGGUGAAAUGCGUUGAGAUCGGAAAGAACACCAACGACGCAAGCACUCUGCUGGGCCGACACUGACACUGAGAGACGAAAGCUAGGGGAGCAAAUGGGAUUAGAUACCCGCGUAGUCCCUGUCUCUUAUAA